GAGUUUGAUCCUGGUUCAGAUUGAACGCUGGCGGCAUGCCUUACGCAUGCAAGUCGAACGGUAACAGGUCUUCGGAUGCUGACGAGUGGCGAACGGGUGAGUAAUACAUCGGAACGUGCCUAGUAGUGGGGGAUAACUACUCGAAAGAGUGGCUAAUACCGCAUGAGAUCUACGGAUGAAAGCAGGGGAUCGCAAGACCUUGUGCUACUAGAGCGGCCGAUGGCAGAUUAGGUAGUUGGUGGGAUAAAAGCUUACCAAGCCGACGAUCUGUAGCUGGUCUGAGAGGACGAUCAGCCACACUGGGACUGAGACACGGCCCAGACUCCUACGGGAGGCAGCAGUGGGGAAUUUUGGACAAUGGGCGCAAGCCUGAUCCAGCAAUGCCGCGUGCAGGAUGAAGGCCUUCGGGUUGUAAACUGCUUUUGUACGGAACGAAAAGCCCUGGGUUAAUACCCUGGGGUCAUGACGGUACCGUAAGAAUAAGCACCGGCUAACUACGUGCCAGCAGCCGCGGUAAUAC
This 520-nucleotide ribosomal RNA is filed under the name uncultured bacterium. Its description in RNAcentral is "bacterial SSU rRNA". It matches the Rfam family "Bacterial small subunit ribosomal RNA", at positions 9 to 526 of the family's 1533-position model. The record is from RNAcentral.